GGAGCUGUAGCUCAGUGGUAGAGCGGCAGAUUGCAACGUUUAAUAACUUAAAAUAAUAUUACUAUUAAUUAAAUAGUAAUAUCAAAAGAGUUAUAGCAGUUUAUCUGUAGGCCGCGAGUUCGAUCCUCGCCAACUCCU
Molecule: non-coding RNA, 138 nt
Organism: Aspergillus melleus
Lineage: Eukaryota; Fungi; Ascomycota; Eurotiomycetes; Eurotiales; Aspergillaceae
Source: the annotation of a RefSeq genome assembly